CCUACGUGGGGCAGCAGUGGGGGAUAUUGGACAAUGGGGGAAACCCUGAUCCAGCGACGCCGCGUGAGUGAAGAAGUAUUUCGGUAUGUAAAGCUCUAUCAGCAGGGAAGAAAGAAAUGACGGUACCUGAGUAAGAAGCCCCGGCUAACUACGUGCCAGCAGCCGCGGUAAUACGUAGGGGGCAAGCGUUAUCCGGAAUUACUGGGUGUAAAGGGAGCGUAGACGGUAAUGCAAGUCUGGAGUGAAAGGCGGGGGCCCACCCCCCGGACUGCUCUGGAAACUGUGUAACUGGAGUGCAGGAGAGGCAGGCGGAAUUCCUAGGGUAGCGGUGAAAUGCGUAGAUAUUAGGAGGAACACCAGUGGCGAAGGCGGCCUGCUGGACUGUAACUGACGUUGAGGCUCGAAAGCGUGGGGAGCAAACAGGAUUAGAUACCCGGGUAGUC
Molecule: ribosomal RNA, 443 nt
Filed under: uncultured bacterium
Lineage: Bacteria
Description: partial 16S ribosomal RNA
Rfam family: Bacterial small subunit ribosomal RNA
Source: RNAcentral